This 105-nucleotide small nuclear RNA is filed under the name Trichobilharzia regenti. Lineage: Eukaryota; Metazoa; Platyhelminthes; Trematoda; Strigeidida; Schistosomatidae. The record is from RNAcentral.
AUUCUCUGAGGUAGUAAUAUGGACUAAAGUUAAGACGAUAAAGGGGAGAUAAGCAUGGCUUCUGCACAAGAUGAAAAGCAAAUUUGUAAAACUUUCCAUAUUUUU